Molecule: long non-coding RNA, 1200 nt
Filed under: Olea europaea subsp. europaea
Lineage: Eukaryota; Viridiplantae; Streptophyta; Magnoliopsida; Lamiales; Oleaceae
Source: RNAcentral
GAAUCACAUAUUAUUUAGAUUGGAUCAAUGGAUAGAAUAUGUAGAAUUAACUAUGACCAAAAAAAAAAAAAAAAAAAUUCAACUAAACCAAUUAUAGGAUAGUUUGGGGUGGUUGAGCUGUUGUGGGGAGACAUUGAGAUAGAUGUGGAUUCCAUGUGUGUUAAAUUUUGUGUGGAUUGCUUAAGACCAAUGAGAUGAUAAUUAGGUGAAAAUCUUAAGUUAAAGAUCGAUUUUCGAGAAUAAGUGUUUAAUGAGGGGCAUUGCACUAAUCAUUGCAUAGAAGGGAAAAAGCUGCCAUGUUGUGAAGCUACCCUAAAAGAGCCCGAUGAGGACAAUUAUAUACAUAAAAAGAGAUAGGCUAGUGCAUGAAAUAGAAUACGCACGGCAAACUUGAAAAAAGCAGGUGCAUGAAACAGAAGACGCACUACAUACCUUGAUUGAGUCCCAAACACUUAUUUUAGAGAAUUAGACCUUUGAUAAGGGAUUAGUAGCUUAGUUGAUUCUUGGAGGUUGAAUCAGUCAAAAUUAAGGAGAAUCCUCAUUUAUUGAUGUGUUGAGCUACAAUUAGUAAAAUCUAACCAAACUAGAGAUGGUGAGUAAUAGUAUAAAUCACACCUUGGGAAAAUAGUUAGAAAAUCAAGUUUGAGGGUGUGCAUUCCACGAGAGAAGAGAGAAAUAAUUGACCAUUGAGGGUCGGGAUGAGUCCAAUUUGAAAAAAGUGUGUGAUUGAACUGAUUAUGCACACACACACAUUGGUCGAGCAUUGGACAAGUUAGACUAUGUUUUGGUAGCAAACCUUAGAAGAAUUUUGAUAAGCAAUUUCAAAUCCUAAGGCAAAUGGGACAAGCUAUUUCAUUGGAACUAUUUUUGAAUUUUUAUUGCUAGAGACUAGCAAUAUCUUGGUUGGGGAGUGUGAUUAGUGUCUAAAACUGCUUCAAAGAUAUAUCAUUUACAAGGCAUUUUACAUUCACUUUGUUUAAAAACGCUAAUGUUAGUCUCUAAUUCCAAUUCUCAUGCCGUAAAUUCAAUUUCCAUAAAUACAUGGUUAAAAAUGCAAUUAAUUGAAAUACGUAUUUACAUACAUGGUGGCAUGAGUAUUAUACAUUUGAAAGAGUAUCUAUUUGAUGUAUUUCACAUGUAUUUUCAAUUUAUUACAAGUGGAGCAAGUGGAGGAAAAUAAUGUUGAAAAGUCAAAAAUAG